RNAcentral lists this ribosomal RNA (497 nucleotides) under uncultured bacterium. RNAcentral describes it as "partial 16S ribosomal RNA". It matches the Rfam family "Bacterial small subunit ribosomal RNA", at positions 28 to 507 of the family's 1533-position model. The record is from RNAcentral.
GAUGAACGCUGGCGGCGUGCCUAAUACAUGCAAGUCGAGCGAACGGACGAGAAGCUUGCUUCUCUGAUGUUAGCGGCGGACGUGUGAGUAACACGUGGAUAACCUACCUAUAAGACUGGGAUAACUUCGGGAAACCGGAUCUAAUACCGGAUGAUAUUUUGAACCGCAUGGUUCAAAAGUGAAAGACGGUCUUGCUGUCACUUAUAGAUGGAUCCGCGCUGCAUUAGCUAGUUGGUAAGGUAACGGCUUACCAAGGCAACGAUGCAUAGCCGACCUGAGAGGGUGAGCGGCCACACUGGAACUGAGACACGGUCCAGACUCCUACGGGAGGCAGCAGUAGGGAAUCUUCCGCAAUGGGCGAAAGCCUGACGGAGCAACGCCGCGUGAGUGAUGAAGGUCUUCGGAUCGUAAAACUCUGUUAUUAGGGAAGAACAUAUGUGUAAGUAACUGUGCACAUCUUGACGGUACCUAAUCAGAAAGCCACGGCUAACUACGUG